Camelina sativa (false flax) is the source of this 1081-nucleotide long non-coding RNA. RefSeq lists it as uncharacterized. The record is from RefSeq and is a predicted model, not a curated record. NCBI's taxonomy places the organism in Eukaryota, Viridiplantae, Streptophyta, Magnoliopsida, Brassicales, Brassicaceae.
UAAACGAAUCGAAUUAGAAAAAACAACCAAUUCUAUGAUCGUUAAAAAAAUUUCAGAAAUAUCAAAAGACUUCUCAAGGAACUGUCCAAUAAAAUAAAUCCAAACGCAUAUUUUUUUCUCUCUCGACUAAAACCUAAAACUAGCCGCCGUCCAUCCAGAUCUGUUUUCCGCUUGCCCUCUCCGGUGAUCGGCGCUCCUCGUCGCAGCCGUGAGAGGGUACCCAGUAGUUCCCUUUUCGUUUAGUUGUUGUUUCUUUUGAUUCGUCUUACCUCUGGUGGUUAAGUAGAGAGGAGUUGUCAGGUUGACGGUGGUUCAUCUCGGCGAGCUUUAGAGGCAUGGCAGGUGGUCAGCUUCUCCAGAGAGAGUUGUCGUUCUGGGCUUCCGAGAUCUGUAGAUCUAAUGGUUGCUCUGUCUUAGAAAAGGAUUUGCGAAUCGGUGACCUUUUGUCUCGCUCCAGCUCCUUGGUCCGGCCUACAAGUUCUUAUGUGUCCUUUAGAGUUCUCUUUGGGUUCACUCUGGUUCGAUCUUCCGCUGUCCUUGUUUGUGAUUGGUGGUGUCCAGUUUGGAUUGUUCGCUCCUAGUCUCUGCUUUUCAGAUCUGUUCGAGGUCUGGUCCUAUGGGUUUUGCUUCUACCUAGGUGCAAAAAAGUCGCCUUGUAUACGACAUCGCCGUAUCCGGAAGAAGUGUGAAGAACUAAGUGGUUCUGUCUUUGCGGAUUAUGAAGAUUACCAUAGGAGUUCUGUUACUUUUAGGCAGUUUCUUAGAGGAGGAAUGGAUUUUCGAAGGUUGGCCGAGGGCAUCUUCGUUUUGUACAAGCAAAGGAUCUCUUGAAGUUAGCAUUCCUUGUGGGUUUUGGUAUAAUCCUUCUUUGUGAGGUUUUUGUUUUGGUAUGUUUUUGUUAUGGGUGUUUCCUUCAAUCUUUGUAAUAGCCUUGUUUUUCAGUUCUUAGUUUCCCUUGCAUAGGGCUUUAGAUUCCGGGGAUAUCUUGUUCUUCCGCCGGCUUUAGACCUGGAGAUAUCAUGUUUUUCCGCCGGCUUUGCUUGUAAUCCUAAGUUGUAAUGGUUUGAAUAAUAAAAUUCUA